GAUGAACGCUGGCGGCGUGCCUAAUACAUGCAAGUCGAGCGGACAGACGAGGAGCUUGCUCCUUUGACGUUAGCGGCGGACGGGUGAGUAACACGUGGAUAACCUACCUAUAAGACUGGGAUAACUUCGGGAAACCGGAGCUAAUACCGGAUAACAUGUUGAACCGCAUGGUUCAACAGUGAAAGACGGUCUUGCUGUCACUUAUAGAUGGAUCCGCGCCGCAUUAGCUAGUUGGUAAGGUGACGGCCUACCAAGGCAACGAUGCGUAGCCGACCUGAGAGGGUGAUCGGCCACACUGGAACUGAGACACGGUCCAGACUCCUACGGGAGGCAGCAGUAGGGAAUCUUCCGCAAUGGGCGAAAGCCUGACGGAGCAACGCCGCGUGAGUGAAGAAGGUCUUCGGAUCGUAAAACUCUGUUAUUAGGGAAGAACAAAUGUGUAAGUAACUAUGCACGUCUUGACGGUACCUAAUCAGAAAGCCACGGCUAACUACGUG
RNAcentral lists this ribosomal RNA (497 nucleotides) under uncultured bacterium. RNAcentral describes it as "partial 16S ribosomal RNA". It matches the Rfam family "Bacterial small subunit ribosomal RNA", at positions 28 to 507 of the family's 1533-position model. The record is from RNAcentral.